This 303-nucleotide ribosomal RNA is filed under the name Triticum aestivum (bread wheat). RNAcentral's name for it is "partial small subunit ribosomal RNA". The record is from RNAcentral. Lineage: Eukaryota; Viridiplantae; Streptophyta; Magnoliopsida; Poales; Poaceae.
AUGGACCUAGAGGCGGUGCCAGUUAGGAAGGCUUGCACAGAAAUGUUGAAACGCGCGACUCGCCAACAACGAUAUAGGCUCAAGAAAGAGUAUUUUGAUCCUCACGCACCCCAUUUGGUGAGGAGAACUUCUCCGGUCCCCUCGAUGACUGAUGACCAGUGGAACGAGCUAGUGGAAAGCUGGAAGGAUCCCAAAAAGAUGGUCCUGGGAUAUCUCAAAUUAACAAAGCUAAUCGAGCUCAAGUUAAGUUCCACCAAACUACUGGAGCGCGCAGCUACCCUGUGCACUGUGGAAAUAUGGUAA